Long non-coding RNA from Carassius carassius (crucian carp), 376 nucleotides. RefSeq lists it as uncharacterized. The transcript is spliced from 3 exons. NCBI's taxonomy places the organism in Eukaryota, Metazoa, Chordata, Actinopteri, Cypriniformes, Cyprinidae. The record is from RefSeq and is a predicted model, not a curated record.
CACACACACACACACACACAGUCCAGUGUUGACCUGAAUGAAUGGAUCACACACACACACACACACACACACACACACACAGAUGAGGAUGUUGGGACAAUGGCCUGGUCUCAGGGGCUUCUGUCUUGUCUGAGUUCAUGUGGAAGCUGACCCUUCGUUCCCUUCCCACACCCCACCUGAGAGAAACCUCUAUCAGUAUCACUCGUCCUGAUAUAGCUACAGGUCAGUCUGAGGUCAGUGUGCUGCCCACCUGUCAGCAGUGCAUUGCUGGAAUGAAUGUGUGUGAGAGUGAACUGGAGAUGAGGUCACAGGAAGUCAAGCCCUGGCUGCAAUUUUGCGGAAAAAGGACACUUCCUGUCCGCUUCCCGAGUCCGUU